AUUUCCCCGGCUUUUUGCAGGGUGGGGAGGACAGAGAAGCUGCAGGGAGAGAUGAAGUUUUUUCCUUGAGGAUGAAAAGCUCUUAACCUUGCACGUUUGGCUUCUUCUAUUCAAUUUUUUUAAAAGCAGAGAUAGGGAGCUCACAGAAUCCUCCCCACAAAGCCGAGAAGCAGGAAGCAGCAACCCUCCCAGAUGAAGAAGCGAAGGCUCGGAAAAGCUAAGUAACUUCUCCAAGCUGACGCAGCUCGUGAGAGGAGGGACUGGGAUUCAAAUCCCUGCAGGGGGAGACCAGCAGCCCCGACUUCAGCCGCCAUGCCUCCUGCCUGAGAAGCUAGCUGCGAAGGUUCCAGAAGGAGACUGCCCUCCGGGAACAGAAACAGCGCAUGACUGCGACCUGUCUGCAAAAAUCUUGAUCACUUGUAAAUCCUUCUCCACCUGAUAAGUUAUCACAUUGGCUCAUGAUGUUUUUUUUCAUUCUCACCCUAUGGCGUGGAUGCUGUUACUACCCCAUUUUACAAAGGAGUAAAGUGAGGCCCAGAGAGAACAGUUAAAUCACUUCCCCAGCUUCACUCAACUCAUCUACGGUGAGUCGACGGUACACAUGCCCUUCCACAACACAAAGGUCUCCACUUUGCCACGUGUCACUCUGAUGGUUCCAGGUGCAGAUUUUGCGUCUGCUUCUUGACUUCUAAUGGCUGCACCAUUUUGCAUUGGAUGGUUAUACCAUCAUUUAUUUGACUCAUCUCCUGUGCACAAGCAUCUAGUUUAUCUGCAAACUUUUGCUACCAAAAACAAUGCUGCAAUGAAUAAAUAAGCUGAUGCCUGCUUCUAAGCGUGCGUGCAUGCUGUAAUGUGAGAUGAAUUCCCAGAAGUGGAGUGGCUGAGUCCAAGAGUAAAUGCAUUUUUCAUUUUGAUAGUAUCGCCAAAUGUCUUUCCAAAGGGGUUGUGCUGGAUCCCACUCCAGCUAGCAAUGUGUGAGAGCACCAAUCCCACCGCCCACUGCAGCACACAUAUUGACGUCGGCUAGUCCAAUACCAGCACAGGCAGCUGGGCCCCCUCGGGUGAUGCAGUGGGCAAAGUGCGCACUCAGCUCUGAGGUAUUGAGGAAACUGUCUCAUUGUGGUUGGGAUUCAUGUUUUCUUCCAUAAAUGGGACAGAGCAUCUUUUUAUAUGUCUGAAUUCAUUUCAACUGCUGUUCCUUCAACUAGACCAUUUUCUUACAAAUUGUGGGUUUAAGGGCUAGACAAGCAGGUUUAUUCCUCUCUCCCAAUGUUCUAACUGAAGGUAGAGUGGAAAAUUAUCUUCUCUAGGAAGAAAUGUACCACCACUCUGAAGAAUGAAAGAAAGCAAGCUAAAAAGGAGAGAGAGCAUGAAGAAGGAAGACAAAACUGAAGUUAGGUCAUGGAAACCAGAAGAGAUCCUGGGGCCACAUUGUGCACUUGAAUCUCAUUAUGGUCAAACCCUGUUGCAACAUUUCCCAAAAGACCAAGAAGGGGAAAACUCUGGAAGCUGGGGAAGGGAAAGUACUGACAGCCUGUGCCUGAGUGUGUGAGCAUGUGUGUGUGUGUGUGUGAGUGUGUGUGUAUCUUAGACUUGGACUACAAAAUUUAGAGAAAAAAGAGUAAGAAAGAAAAGAAAGAAAAAAUACAACACUUAAACAUUCCAUACAUAGAGGUCACAUAUGAAGGGACAAUGAAAUGGUGUCUUAGAAGAAUUUGGGGUCUUUGCAGGUGUGCCCCCUAGAACACCGCAUCGGUCUACAUCUGUGUUCUAGUCUCUGAAGAAAUCAUGUGGUUCUUCUGGUGCCCGCCGAGGAAUUUACUGGUAUUUAUGAAAAGAACAUGGCUUAGUUGCGUCUCUUCUGAUCUAACCCAUUUGGAACGUAACUUAGAAGGACAGUCCUGCGCAUCUUCUUGCGAAACUGUUCCAUAGUCCUCCCCUAGGAAGUCGUGCAGUUCUUGGAGACAUUUGGGCAACUCUUUAAUCUGCCUCAUCAGGGAGGGAGGGCACACAGGCCUGGGGUAGAAAAGGCCAGCCUCAUUUUUUUUUUUUUAUUGUGAUGAAAUUGCAAACUUACAUCCUGAGACUAAAAUUAAAUGGAGGAAAGCUCUGCCCGUCGUGGGUGGUCUUCCUCGGGCCCUUCGGAAGGAGGGGUCGGAUGGAGCAGGAGAGCACAUUUAGCAACAUUUCCAAUAGGGUAAUGACAGCAAUCAUGAUAGCUGUCCCCCUUGGGAGGGAGAAAUCACAAAAACCUACACAGUGACAAAAAUAAACAAGCGUGUAACGCCAGCAGAGGAGGCCUGGCCCGCUCUGAACUUGGAGAACAUCAAAGUGAAGCCAGUUAUCAGGCCGUCCAGGCUCCAGGCUCCUUCGCGUCCUGCUCAGUGCUUUUAUCAGCCGUUUGGACUUUGGAGGAGCCCAGAGGACGCUCGCUGAGCACAGCUGCGAGGAACAGACGUGCUGGACUGCAGAGUCUGAACAGAAAGGAUGCUCAGGCUGUGGCUGAUAAAUGGGAGGCACAGGAGGAAAUUUCACAGGGAUGAACAACCCUCCUCCAUUUAGAUUCCAAAAAUUCCAACCCAUGAAAAGAGCAGAGAGAGCCCGGACUGAAGUCAGGCAGAUCCGGGAAGGAAUCCAUACCUGCGCGUCCCCUGGGCAGCACAGGGUGGGAGGCCCCAGAUCCCUGGCUUCCUCACCUGCGGAAAGGAUGAGACUCGCCCAGCGUUCACCCAGUGAAUAUGCUUUCAGCCUCUGCUGGGUACCAGGCAUAGUUUUGGGCACUGGGAAUAAAGGGGUGAGGAAAUAGAAUUUUUAAAUUCCUAAAGAAAUCAGAUUUUUAAAAAUCCUUGUGGUGAUGGAAAUGUUCCGUAUCAUGAUAGUGGGGAUGAUACAGGAACCUACACAUGUAAUAAAUUGCAUAGAAACACACACACACACGCACGCACACACACACACCCCUGCAGGUUAAAAAUAAGAAACCGAGUAAAACGGGUGGAUUGAGUCAGUGUCAUUAUCCUGGUUGUAACAUUCUGUAGUUCUGCAAAAUGUUGCAGUUGGAGGAAACUAAAUGAAGUCUGCAUUGUAUCUCUCUGUAUUAUGUCUUAGAACCACCUGGGAAUCUACAAUGACCUCAAUACAAAUUUCAAUUAACAGAUAAAUACAUCAAAACCCCUGCCAUCCUGGAGCCCACGUUCCGUUGGGGAAUUUCCAAGGUAGACUCCAAUGAGACAGCAAGCUUGGGCCUCCCCCCCGCCCCGCUUCACAUCACCUGUCAGGGGACAGUGGGAGAUCAGUAAUGGCCAUUAUUAGCUACUUCGUGUCAGUCAGGGGCCUGCUCAACUGGAAGUAAAUGGCCGUUUAAACUGGGCUUUAAAUUGAAGCUGGCAUGAGAAGGCAAUCUUCCCAAAGGUGUGGCCCAGGUUGAGGGAAUGGCAGGAGGGGUAGCUGUGCAGGGAAGGAAGCCCCACGGGUAGGUGGGGUGGGGUGGGGCUGAAGAGGCCACCCAGCAGAGAGGCGACAAUUACCAUAGGCCAGGUAUCUUAUGAAACAGAAAUGUAUUCUGCCACAGGCCUGGAGGCGGGGGUCUGAAAUCAAGGUGUGGGCAGGGCUGUGCUCCCUGUGAAGGCACCAGGGGAGAACCCUUCCUGCCUCUUCCAGCUUCCCAAGGUUCCAGGUGUUCCCUGGCUUGUGCCUUCAUCCCUCCAACCUCUGCCUCUGUCUCCACAUGGCUGCCUUCUCUGUGUCUCUCUGUGUCCAUGUUUUCUCCUCUUCUGACUCUCUUGAGGGCACUUGUCAUUGGACUUAGGGCCCAUGCUAAUCCAGGAUGAUCGCAUCGCAAGAUCUUUAAUUACAUCUAUGCAGGCCCUUUUCCCCAAAUAAAGUCGUAUUCACAGGU
Homo sapiens (human) is the source of this 3895-nucleotide long non-coding RNA. RefSeq lists it as uncharacterized. The transcript is spliced from 3 exons. NCBI's taxonomy places the organism in Eukaryota, Metazoa, Chordata, Mammalia, Primates, Hominidae. The record is from RefSeq and is a predicted model, not a curated record.